UCCUGAUUCAAGAAGCAAAUAGUGGAAUCGUUUGAUGGUUCCACUAAUUUCCUAGAUCAUCUUGAAGGCUUCAGGGGUGUCAUGAGGUUACAAGGGGCGUCUAAUGCCCUACUUUAUGUCGCCUUCCCAAUUAUCCUAAAAAAAUCUGCAAGAAUUUGAUUCUCUAGACUCUAGCCAAGAUUUAUUUCCUCCUUCAAAUGGUUGACAAAGCUGUUCAUCACUUAUUUGGGUAAUAACCA
RNAcentral lists this long non-coding RNA (239 nucleotides) under Elaeis guineensis (African oil palm). RNAcentral describes it as "long non-coding RNA (EGUI_LNC009297)". Lineage: Eukaryota; Viridiplantae; Streptophyta; Magnoliopsida; Arecales; Arecaceae. The record is from RNAcentral.